GGUUGUCGUCAGCUCGUGUCGUGAGAUGUUGGGUUAAGUCCCGCAACGAGCGCAACCCCUAUUGUUAGUUGCCAUCAUUCAGUUGGGCACUCUAGCGAGACUGCCGGUAAUAAACCGGAGGAAGUGGGAGUGACGUCAAAUCAUCAUGCCCCUUAUGACCUGGGCUACACACGUGCUACAAUGGCCGGUACAAAGGGCAGCCACUUAGCGAUAAGGAGCCAAUCCCGUAAAGCCGGUCUCAGUCCGGAUUGGAGUCUGCAACUCGACUCCAUGAAGUUGGAAUCGCUAGUAAUCGCAGAUCAGCACGCUGCGGUGAAUACGUUCCCGGGCCUU
Molecule: ribosomal RNA, 333 nt
Filed under: uncultured Desulfocapsa sp.
Lineage: Bacteria; Pseudomonadati; Thermodesulfobacteriota; Desulfobulbia; Desulfobulbales; Desulfocapsaceae
Description: bacterial SSU rRNA
Rfam family: Bacterial small subunit ribosomal RNA
Source: RNAcentral